AAUAUUGGACAAUGGGGGCAACCCUGAUCCAGCCAUGCCGCGUGUGUGAAGAAGGUCUUCGGAUUGUAAAGCACUUUAAGUUGGGAGGAAGGGCUUUAGGCUAAUACCCUGAAGUUUUGACGUUACCAACAGAAUAAGCACCGGCUAACUCUGUGCCAGCAGCCGCGGUAAUACAGAGGGUGCAAGCGUUAAUCGGAAUUACUGGGCGUAAAGCGGGAGUAAGGUGUUAAGGAAGAUGGGGGUGAAAUCCCCGGGCUUAACCUGGGAAAUGCUUUCCUAACUGCUGAGGUAGAGUACGGUAGAGGGUAAUGGAAUUUCCUGUGUAGCGGUGAAAUGCGUAGAUAUAGGAAGGAACACCAGUGGCGAAGGCGACUACCUGGAAUGAUACUGACACUGAGGUGCGAAAGCGUGGGGAGCAAACA
This 422-nucleotide ribosomal RNA is filed under the name uncultured bacterium. Its description in RNAcentral is "partial 16S ribosomal RNA". It matches the Rfam family "Bacterial small subunit ribosomal RNA", at positions 360 to 774 of the family's 1533-position model. The record is from RNAcentral.